GAUGAGAACGCAGCGAAAUGCGAUAAGUAGUGUGAAUUGCAGAAUUCAGUGAAUCAUCGAAUCUUUGAACGCACAUUGCGCCCCUUGGUAUUCCAUGGGGCAUGCCUGUUCGAGCGUCAUUUGUACCCUCAAGCUUUGCUUGGUGUUGGGUGUUUGUCCCGCGUUGCGCGUGGACUCGCCUUAAAGCGAUUGGCAGCCGGCAUAUUGGCCUUGGAGCGCAGCACAUUUUGCGCUUCUAGUCAUGAAUGUUGGCGUCCAUUAAGCCUAUACAUUUGCUCUUGACCUCGGAUCAGGUAGGGAUACCCGCUGAACUUAAGCAUAUCAAUAAGCGGAGGA
This 336-nucleotide unclassified non-coding RNA is filed under the name soil metagenome. RNAcentral's name for it is "partial contains 5.8S ribosomal RNA, internal transcribed spacer 2, and large subunit ribosomal RNA". The stretch from base 5 to 119 matches the Rfam family "5.8S ribosomal RNA", at positions 40 to 154 of the family's 154-position model. The record is from RNAcentral.